AUUGAACGCUGGCGGCAGGCCUAAGACAUGCAAGUCGAACGGUAACGACACUAGCUUGCUAGUGGUCGACGAGUGGCGGACGGGUGAGUAACGCGUAGGAAUCUACCUAGUAGUGGGGGAUAGCCAAGGGAAACUUUGGGUAAUACCGCAUACGAUCUAAGGAUGAAAGGGGGCCUCUCUUUGAAGCUCUCGCUAUUAGAUGAGCCUGCGUAAGAUUAGCUUGUUGGUGGGGUAAUGGCCUACCAAGGCAACGAUCAGUAGCUGGUCUGAGAGGAUGAUCAGCCACAUUGGGACUGAGACACGGCCCAGACUCCUACGGGAGGCAGCAGUGGGGAAUCUUGCACAAUGGAGGAAACUCUGAUGCAGCGACGCCGCGUGUGGGAUGAAGGCUUUCGGGUUGUAAACCACUGUCACAGGGGACGAAAAAUCUCAAUGCUAAUAUCAUUGGGACCUGACGGUACCCUGAGAGGAAGCCCCGGCUAACUCCG
Molecule: ribosomal RNA, 488 nt
Filed under: uncultured Gammaproteobacteria bacterium
Lineage: Bacteria; Pseudomonadati; Pseudomonadota; Gammaproteobacteria
Description: bacterial SSU rRNA
Rfam family: Bacterial small subunit ribosomal RNA
Source: RNAcentral